This 460-nucleotide ribosomal RNA is filed under the name uncultured bacterium. Its description in RNAcentral is "partial 16S ribosomal RNA". It matches the Rfam family "Bacterial small subunit ribosomal RNA", at positions 338 to 795 of the family's 1533-position model. The record is from RNAcentral.
CCUACGUGAGGCAGCAGUGAGGAAUAUUGGUCAAUGGGCGCGAGCCUGAACCAGCCAAGUAGCGUGAAGGAUGACUGCCCUACGGGUUGUAAACUUCUUUUAUAAAGGAAUAAAGUGAAGCACGUGUGCCUUUUUGUAUGUACUUUAUGAAUAAGGAUCGGCUAACUCCGUGCCAGCAGCCGCGGUAAUACGGAGGAUCCGAGCGUUAUCCGGAUUUAUUGGGUUUAAAGGGAGCGUAGAUGGGUUGUUAAGUCAGUUGUGAAAGUUUGCGGCUCAACCGUAAAAUUGCAAUUGAUACUGGCAGUCUUGAGUACAGGUGAGGUAGGCGGAAUUCGUGGUGUAGCGGUGAAAUGCUUAGAUAUCACGAAGGACUCCGAUUGCGAAGGCAGCUUACUAAACUGCCACUGACAUUGAUGCUCGAAAGUGUGGGUAUCAAACAGGAUUAGAUACCCUUGUAGUC